UACGUAGGGUGCGAGCGUUAAUCGGAAUUACUGGGCGUAAAGCGUGCGCAGGCGGUUUUGUAAGACAGGCGUGAAAUCCCCGGGCUUAACCUGGGAACUGCGUUUGUGACUGCAAGACUAGAGUACGGCAGAGGGGGGUAGAAUUCCACGUGUAGCAGUGAAAUGCGUAGAUAUGUGGAGGAACACCGAUGGCGAAGGCAGCCCCCUGGGUCAAAACUGACGCUCAUGCACGAAAGCGUGGGGAGCAAACAGG
This 253-nucleotide ribosomal RNA is filed under the name uncultured organism. RNAcentral's name for it is "partial 16S ribosomal RNA". It matches the Rfam family "Bacterial small subunit ribosomal RNA", at positions 524 to 776 of the family's 1533-position model. The record is from RNAcentral.